RNAcentral lists this ribosomal RNA (450 nucleotides) under uncultured bacterium. Its description in RNAcentral is "partial 16S ribosomal RNA". It matches the Rfam family "Bacterial small subunit ribosomal RNA", at positions 354 to 796 of the family's 1533-position model. The record is from RNAcentral.
GCUAAGAAUAUUCCGCAAUGGACGAAAGUCUGACGGAGCGACGCCGCGUGGAUGAUGAAGGCCGAAAGGUUGUAAAGUCCUUUUGCUGGGGAAGAAUAAGCAUGGGAGGUAAUGCCCGUGCGAUGACAUGAACCGGCGAAUAAGCCCCGGCUAACUACGUGCCAGCAGCCGCGGUAACACGUAGGGGGCGAGCGUUGUUCGGAAUUACUGGGCGUAAAGGGCAUGUAGGCGGCUUGGUAAGCCUGGCGUGAAAGUCACCGGCUCAACCGGUGGAUUGCGUUGGGUACUGCUGAGCUUGAAUCACGGAGAGGGAGCUAGAAUUCCAGGUGUAGGGGUGAAAUCUGUAGAGAUCUGGAAGAAUACCAGUGGCGAAGGCGAGCUCCUGGCCGAUGAUUGACGCUGAGGUGCGAAAGUGUGGGGAUCAAACAGGAUUAGAUACCCGGGUAGUCC